UAUCACUUUAUGCUGAACAGAAAAUUGUAAAGAAAGGAAACAUGAUGUCAAAAUAUAACAUUAGCACAAAAAGCCCAUGAUUUUAGCAAGAAUGAGGGUGAAAUCAAGUUUUCUGAUUUUACUUUCACAUGGUUCCCUGUUCAUGUCUUCCAAAAGGUAGUGGUCUGAUCUUCAGCUUGCUCCUGUCCUGGAGAAGAUGUAAGGUGGCUUCUGUCAUGAACAGUUAUGCCUGGGGUCAAUUCCAGUCUGAGAAGAUGGCCUGAAGGACAAGGUCAUCACCCACUUGUGAUGGAGACCAGUGUGGCUGCUGAAAUUGCUCAUCCUGAUGUUCAGCAAGCAAGAUGAUUUGCAUGGAAACCACACCAGGAUGCUGGAGGUGGAAGACCCGCUCGCUCUAGAGCCUUCAAAGGACUUAGGACUCAAUGGGGCACGAAAGCCUAAUUCUGAGGAGAAAAGACUUUUUCAACUGAAACCCUGGGAUGUGUCACUGAAGGAAAUGUAAAAGCCAAACAUUUGGACAAUUUGGAAACACGUGUCAAUUUUUUUUCAAGUUGAAACAACUGUUCAAACCACCCUCGUCUGCGAAAAGUUAAAUGGGCAUUUUCCCACCAGGCCCCCUCCCCUUUCUGAGCCCCUCACACUGGGAGUUUCCCAGCUGGCCCGUGUUAGAUGGUGGAUAAGAUGUAGUGAUGGGGCAAAUGUGAUGGAACCACAUUGGCAGCAGCAGCAACUUGAACCACUCUGAAACCUCGUUGGACUCUUGGUUUUAAUUGUCCCAGG
Molecule: long non-coding RNA, 780 nt
Filed under: Calidris pygmaea (Spoon-billed sandpiper)
Lineage: Eukaryota; Metazoa; Chordata; Aves; Charadriiformes; Scolopacidae
Description: lncRNA (ENSCPGG00000007472.1)
Source: RNAcentral